CUGCGAGUUCGCGGGAGAGUAAGUUAUUGCCAGGGUUUUUAUUUUAUACUUUAAACAUUGAUUUUAUUUUUUAUGUUUUUAGAUGUUCAUGUUUUUGAAUGUUUUAUUUAAAUAAUAUAAAAAAUAAAAUAUAUAUUGACAUGGAUUAAACAAAGAUAUAUAUUAUUCUAUGUUGCAUAAGCAAAUUGGCAAAAUAGAGAUGGAAGAUAAAAAUAUGGUC
Molecule: unclassified non-coding RNA, 220 nt
Filed under: Borreliella garinii
Lineage: Bacteria; Pseudomonadati; Spirochaetota; Spirochaetia; Spirochaetales; Borreliaceae
Description: partial miscellaneous RNA
Source: RNAcentral